RNAcentral lists this small RNA (82 nucleotides) under Pseudo-nitzschia fraudulenta. RNAcentral's name for it is "partial Cyanobacteria transfer-messenger RNA". Lineage: Eukaryota; Bacillariophyta; Bacillariophyceae; Bacillariales; Bacillariaceae. The record is from RNAcentral.
GCCGUUGUCUUAAUUGGCGGGGGUUCGAAUCCCCUCGAUGUCAUCCUUUUCCUUUUGUGGUAGCAGUGGUUUGCCGUGUUGC